AUUUAUAUAGUUUAUUAAAACCUUACAUUUUCAUUGUAAAAAUGAAGCCUAUUCUAUAAAUA
This 62-nucleotide transfer RNA is filed under the name Histeridae sp. BMNH 1274745. RNAcentral's name for it is "tRNA-Glu". Lineage: Eukaryota; Metazoa; Arthropoda; Insecta; Coleoptera; Histeridae. The record is from RNAcentral.